CCCAAUCUGCUCCCCAUGAAUUCUUGAUGAGCCAAUAGGGAACACCAUUUUCAACACCGUAACCCACAGCAAGAACAGCAUGGUUUACAUCCUGCCAAUGCAACACACAAUGUUUGUAAUAUUGUGUAUAUGCCUAUUUAGCGAAGUUAUAAAUUUCACUUAGGGUGUUCAAGAUUUAAUAUAUGCACGACAGUGAAGUGAAGGGUGUUCAACUGACGACCCUUGGUCGGCUGUAGCUUUCCCCUGUAUUUAGGUAACUAUGUCAAUAUAUUUGCAUAUCACGUUCCUAGGGACAGAUGACUUACCAUGGGAGUGUUGCCGCAUUCGGUGCUGGUGUAAACACCACUCUUGUAUUGUUUGAAACCUUUUAUCACCUCAAAAGCUAUACUAACGGGCCUAACCAAUGCAACCGCGUAUUUUAGUUCAUCUUCAGCACCC
This 438-nucleotide long non-coding RNA is filed under the name Nicotiana tabacum (common tobacco). Its description in RNAcentral is "long non-coding RNA (NTAB_LNC012220)". Lineage: Eukaryota; Viridiplantae; Streptophyta; Magnoliopsida; Solanales; Solanaceae. The record is from RNAcentral.